GGAAGACAAAGUUUAGUAGGAUCGGUUGUGGUAUGGGUCGAUGCAAUGGCUACAAUUCGUACUAAAGGCUAAAGCAAGAAGCAAAGCCACGCUUAGCCCAAAAUCUUCUUCUUCACCUACACUAAACACACACUAGUAAUUAUUUUGUCUUGAGUUGCGUGCUGAUACAUGUAGAAACCAGAAACCAACAACAAAAUCACAAUCCUACCCAUAGUUUCUUCUUUUAUCUGUAGAGACAUGAG
This 242-nucleotide long non-coding RNA is filed under the name Gossypium raimondii (Peruvian cotton). RNAcentral's name for it is "long non-coding RNA (GRAI_LNC009039)". Lineage: Eukaryota; Viridiplantae; Streptophyta; Magnoliopsida; Malvales; Malvaceae. The record is from RNAcentral.